RNAcentral lists this long non-coding RNA (922 nucleotides) under Danio rerio (zebrafish). RNAcentral describes it as "si:ch211-134o20.2 (ENSDARG00000102579.2)". Lineage: Eukaryota; Metazoa; Chordata; Actinopteri; Cypriniformes; Danionidae. The record is from RNAcentral.
CCUAGACCACUCAACUGUAGCGCAGUCUGUGGAAAAGGUGAUAGAGGAGAAUAUAAGAAUAAGGAUAUUAUAUAUUAGAUGUAAUGCCAUUAAUGACUAGAACAGUUGCCUAAUAAGCUGUAGAAGAUGCAGAAAUAUCUUCUCCAACUUUCUCUUUCACACACACAGACGCUCUUAACCACUGUGACAUCACUGCUGCCGUUGGGAAGCAAUCCCUCCAAUAACCCAACCAAAGCCACACCAUAAAAUCCCCCAGUCUAGGCCGCUUUCGUGAUGCGAAUUGGAGUAGUUGGCUGAGGGUCUGUUCCAGGGCCUGCUGUAAUCUGCAUUAGGGAGACUCAGCGUGCUGCUGCUUUUCUUGUUCUUGAGACCAAAGCUGAGGAAUGAUGGUUUCUUUGCUACCUUGCGAGACUUGGGGUUUUUAUCGUCCUCGUCGUGUGCCAGGCAGAUCAUGGAGUAUGUCUUGGACAGGCCGCCGCAGUACGUAGCGCUCUUGGUUGCCUGCAGAGAAAGAAACAGAGGAAGAGCAUCUGAGAGCCAUGAAUGAGGGAACAUUCCAGAUGGGCUCUGAAGAUAGAGCAGCUAUGAAUGGAAGUUUGGCUACACCCCUUCAGGAUUCCAAGGAAGGAUGCAAAGAUAAUAGAAUUGAGUGAAGUGAAAUAAUAUAUCCUUUCUUCCUUUAGCAUCACUUCAAAGCAUCUUCAUUUAAUGAAUCCUGUACAUCACUGAAUUUGCUUGCACUUUCAAAUUCUAGAAUAUUACAGAUAAUUAAUUACACUGUAAUAGUUUUAACCAUCAAAAAACACCACGCUUGUCUGUAUUUUUUUUUUACUUAAUGAAUUAUUCUGAUAGUGACUGCUUUUUAUUUGUGCUAAAAAGUACAUUACAGAAAGAACCUGUGAAAACAAACGACAUUAACAAA